AGUGAAGGAAGCUGUUUCUGUUUCCAAAGACUGGACCGGCCGCGGUCAACUAACAAUAUAUGAGACGCAUCUAAGAAGGUACAGACCGAGAGGAAGACCAGGAGAGGAGGCGUCCUCAUCUAGGGGGCGCUACUGUUCAGCAAAAGGCAACACAUGUCAUCAUCUGAAAUCGUACAAAAAAGCGUUUGGUUCCUCUGAACUGACUGGCAGGAGCGAAACUCUGACAGUAUUCACACUGAAGAACUGAGGAAGAAAGAGGAGGAGAAGAAGAGAAGAAUACAACACAGACAGGUUUAACCAACAACACACUGACCAAUGAGAACCACAGAAAACAGUCACAUGGUGGAACCUGGUCCAUAGGUGGAACCUGGUCCAUAGGUGGAACCUGGUCCGUAGGUUGACCCGGUCCGUAAGUGGACCACUGUAAACCCCUUCACUGCUGGACAAACUCUACAUUCAACCCUCAAAGAUCUGUGGGAGGCGGGACAUGGACCCUUACCUGUUGCUAUGGUAACCGCCUCUGAUUGGUUGGUGUCCGGGCUGUCAUUGGUUAAAUCCUCAGCGGCCGAGUCCUUCACUGGACUGCAGACCUGUCAAUCAAACACAGGAAGCGGUUGAAGAGGCUCAGUGAUGGUUUGGUGGGCGGGUACGAUCGACACAUGACAAAGGAACGUCCAAUCACUGACCGGGAAGGGCUCAGCGCCUUCCU
This is a long non-coding RNA of Sphaeramia orbicularis (orbiculate cardinalfish), 709 nucleotides long. RefSeq lists it as uncharacterized. Lineage: Eukaryota; Metazoa; Chordata; Actinopteri; Kurtiformes; Apogonidae. The transcript is spliced from 3 exons. The record is from RefSeq and is a predicted model, not a curated record.